Molecule: long non-coding RNA, 3758 nt
Filed under: Panax ginseng (ginseng)
Lineage: Eukaryota; Viridiplantae; Streptophyta; Magnoliopsida; Apiales; Araliaceae
Description: long non-coding RNA (PGIN_LNC014919)
Source: RNAcentral
GCAACUAGCAACACAACAACAACAGCACCAAAGAUGCACCAACAGGCAGCCCAAAACCAGCAGAAAGUCAGCAGGGAAACGGGAAGUUUCUACACUUCCAGAGCAGUAGCCUAAUCAUGAUAGAUGAAAUGAAAGAAUAGUUACUGCAUACUAUGUAGUACAGCAGACAACGUGUGCGUGUGUGAGAACGAGACAGAUUAGAGAGACGAGAUAGAGAUUACCCAUCAAAUACCAUACACGUCAGCAAUAUUUCAUACGCUGAUUCCCGCAAGUCGUCAUCCGAUAAUCCUUCAAAAAUCUUAAAAGUAUAAAUCAGUUACUCAAAAGAAAAAAAAUACCUCAGAAAGAUGUCUUUAUUUUAGUUAUUUAAUUUAAUUUAAUUUAAUUUUGUGAAAAGUUAAAAUUGUGAUGAUAUGGGAACUGAUAAAAGGGAUAUAAACAAACUUGCUAAUUCAUGUCAAGUGGACUAGCAGUUUGUGAGUCAACGUCCUAUAUUAUAACCCGAGUUUAAAUCCCAAGUGUGUUAUUUGUUAAAGAAUUAAAGUCAGCAGAUCUAGAACACUUACCAACCCUCAAUACAAAAUCAUUCUUGAGCUGAAAUCACAUUUAAAUGAUAGAUUUCAUAAAUCAAAAUUCUACCUGAAAAAAUUAUAUAGAACAUGGUCAUUUACGUACAAUGCACUGAAGUGGCGCUUUGCAUUCUGCAUUUCCUAGCAGUUAGCAUAGUUGCAAAAACAAUUGCAAUAAUGAAAUUUUAUUGCACAACGGAGGACGACAACACUAUAAAAUCCCUAUAUAUACACCAUCAUCCCCCAAAAAAGAGUGCUAAUCAAUGAUCAAGAACUCAUCGUAAGAAUUCGUACUUCGAUUUUCAAAGUGGACUCCUUUUCAAAGACAUCCAAAAAGGAUUAAAGAAUAAUUCUUAGUUUUGAACACUUAUAAAUGUAUUGUUAAUAAGUUGAAAUCCCAAUAAAAUUUCACUUAGAACAAUACCAAUCUAAAUAUCAAACUGUCCUUCUACAUAGUACAUACACUCAAAAAAAUACAAAAAUAAAAAAAUAAAAAAUUAAGUAGAAGAAAAUUUAACAUUUGCAGCUUAUUUUAAAAUAGUUUAUAGCUUAUUUAAUAAGUUGGCGUAUCCUAUUUGGCGCAGGUUUUAAAACCAGCUUGUAACAGGAAUAAGUUGUUGUGUGUGGCAAUAAGCUGAAAAUGUAUACUUAAAAUGUCUACUAAGCUAUAAGCCGAAAAUAAAAACACUCCUUUUUCAGCUUAUUUUUUAAAAUAAUCUAUAAGGUGUUCCCAAAUAAGCUGUGACAAACAGGGCCUUAACAAUUCAGCUCUAUCAACAAAUACUGUAAGUGAUAAUGAAACUGAAGCUGGAACAAUUUAAGAAAAAUUCAACCUGCUGUUUCCACUGUAAAAUUGAAGCUCUGAGCAAGGAAAUUAACACACUUGGAUCCAUGGGCUCAGUGGUCAUUUCCACUAUAACACCUCCAUGAACAUCCUCUAUACCACUCAGUAAUUUAUCAAAUUGGUGCGCUUGUUUUUCUGAUAACACUGGCGAUGAAAAACUCAUUGAAGACGAUAAGGUUCUGAUUUUCAGAUUCUUCAAAAAAUUAACCCGGAAUAUGCCUGUGAAAUAAACGAAUUUGAGUCAAAAUAUAAUCAAAAUUUAGGUUGAAAAAUAAUACAAUUUUUGCAGGUAUAAUUUAUUAAACAACAUAAGACCUUUAAUAGGAAAAGAUUGUUUUGAUCCGAGAGAGAAAAUGAAGCGAUUGAAUGAUAAGAACAUAUACUUCUUGUGGCGAUACAGAGGAAGGAAGUGGAGAAUUUGAUUAUCAUUUUCGGCUACCUUUAUAUAUAUAUCAUGUAUAUCAUAUAUAUCAUGUAUUUAUAUCAUGUAUUUUUAGCGGCUGCAUAUUUAACCUUGUACUCGUCCCCUGAAAAAGCAAUUUUUUGACCUACCAAAGUAUCAUAUGGAUGUAACUUAUGAUUGUUAGCAUGAUUCACUACAACUGAAGGAGGGACUCGUCGAGGAGGAGAUCCAGCUAAUUCUGGGUCUGAAACAAGAAAAUAGGAAUCCCCAAACUGAGAAUUCAUCUGUAGAGAAGAAUGCAUAAAAUAGCUAAAAGUUAAAUUGGAGACAAAGGACAUCCACAUAAAGGUAAAUCCCUUCCAUGACAUGCAAUAAUAUGAUUGUUAGUUGUUGGAACACUUGAGAAAAAAAAUUUUUGCCUCAGUUUAAAAGCACAAGAAUUUAAUGAAAAGCAUCCCAUAGUAUGAACGAAAUAUGACCAAACAAAGCAUAUAGCUCAAACAACUUUUUCGUGAUAAGAACCUUAAAUCAUUUUUAAAGGACAUCAAACAAGUUCACUUUCUACCAAACUCAGUCCAAUGGAAAGAAAGAAACUCAUAGACCAAAUACAUGAAAUGCAUCUCAUGGGAUUUCCAUAGACUUCAUUGGAUGAGGCCAGUUACCUAUAAGUAGAUAGCUAAUUAAAUCUUACUCAUCCUCAGAAUUUAUCAAGAUUUAAUUUUGAAUUAUCUUCCUCACAUUACCCAGACUUUUUAAAGUCAUCACAUAAUCUUGUCAUGGGAUUUAUUUUAACAUAAAUAAAGAUUGUAUUAAUCAAGAGAAGAAAGAUAUCAAAAUGUUAUGAACAAAACAUCCUUCAAAGGGGGACACGACUAGCAAAAAGUCAAUAACAAGCAAGACAAACUAUCUACAGGAUGAUGAAAGAGAUAAUUUCUAUCGCAUCAUCAAUACACAAAAAUCAUACUAACUUUCUAAUUUUAAUUAACUUAGAAAGUGCAUAAAUCGGAAUAGCUUUGCUGCUACACGCUGCUACUUUGCUACAGUUUUGGCUUAACAGGUAGCCCGCUUUGCGAAUUUUUAUCUCGCAAAACCCUCAUCCAAUUGGUACCAAAUUUUAGUAUGUUAUACUUGGUACUAUAUACCAUUUUAUAAAAAUAUAAAUCAACCAAAAUGAACAUCUUAAACCAUUUUUACAAGGGCUUAAAACUGCCCAGUUGUAACCGUUUUUAGCUAAACCCCAUUUGUUAUAUCUUCCACAAAAUAACUUUUAAACUCAGUUUGGCUCGCCCAAACCACUUGGAUUACUUCAUAUAAUAUAUAUAAAUUGUUCGUAACUUUGAUCAAUUCUCGAUUUUUAAGCUCAACAGCCUCUAAGAGACAUUAUAUCAAACAUGCUCUGUGCGUAGCUUUUAAAAACAGAUUUCAUAGCUAUUUAGAUGGAGUCUAGCCCAAAAUUUUCAGUCUUAUCACUCCACACAACCUGCAUAAUACCUCCUUUAUACUUAUUCACAACCAAACACAGCCCAACAUAGCAUUUAUUUCAAUGUUCAUAUAUAUAUUUACUAGUUUUUUUAUAAACAUAGUGUAAAUGUAUAGAUUACCUUGCUUGCUUGAUGUAAUUACUGAAUUUGUGGUUCAAGCUUGUAAUUGAAUGAUUUUAAUCCCUCCUUAAGGCUGCAUCUUUCCCCCGAUUCAUUUCAAUUUCAGUGUGUGAAUUUAUCUUCUUGGACGAAUUUGAUGAUUAAAGCCGAAUCCAAGAGGUUUUUGACAAAGGUUUGGGAGUAUAGAAAUUCGGCAAGUGAGAGAGAGAAGAGGGUUUGGAACGGAUGCAACUGUAGAGGACUGAGAAUGGUUUUUAAGUUUAUUGCAUCCUAGCUUGCCUUGUCAGAUAAGGACUUUGCUAAGUGUCCCUUGCAAUUGCCUAAUUAGUUUACACCUCGUG